This 1930-nucleotide long non-coding RNA is filed under the name Anas platyrhynchos platyrhynchos (common mallard). Its description in RNAcentral is "lncRNA (ENSAPLG00000020403.1)". The record is from RNAcentral. Lineage: Eukaryota; Metazoa; Chordata; Aves; Anseriformes; Anatidae.
CUGGAGGCUUGACAAUAAGCAGCCAUUCCCAAUCUAUUUUGCAACUUACGACUCAGCUCCAAAAAGCCCCCUUCAGAAGUAAUUAGUUUGCUUUACAUCCAGCCUUUAUAUUCUCAAGCUAAUAAAUGGCCAGUGCAGCUCCAAAAGGAGUUUGUUUCUCUGGCUGCCUACGGGGACUGGGGGAGUUGCUGUCUCCGGGCAGCACAACUCCAUCGGCAGCUGAAUGUCUUGGCAGGGACCAGGGCUCUCUACAAAAGGUGGCAAGCCACAAAAUCUAAAGUCUUUAUACCCUGUAUAAAAGUCAGCAUUCACAUGGUCUGGCAGAAACCUUCGGGUCUCCAAGUUUCAGUUUCCCCGUCUGCGGGAAGGGCUUCUCCAAAAGAUUUGUUGAUUCAGCAAACAUUUGCAUCUCAUGCCACAGCUUUCCUGCAUGACCUUGACAGAGCUUCUGGCCUCUCUGUGACUCACUUCCCCACUUCUAAAAUAGAGGAAAUUAGAGCAUUACAGUCAGGUGUCUGUCUUUUGCCUUCCCAAGGAGGCUUGCCAGGAGAAGUGCCACUUACGGUGCCACUCAUGGUGCCACUCAGCUGGUUUGGGGCACACUAGGAUGCCAAGGCCUGGGCUGUUGGUGGCAAUGAGUCCACGGCCACGUGCCCAGCAGAGAUGGAGCAGAGAUCAACAAUUCAGAACGGGGGCUCUCAGUCACCCUUGCUGAUGACUGGCCUUGCAACAGCCGCUGUGGCUCCUUCUCCCAGAAAUCAUUCCCUCCCUUCUUCUGUCCUGCCCCUACUGCAAGGACAGCUCAUGAAGCAGAAUCUGAACUGGCCUCAAUGGAUCGAGGAGGACAAGCAACAUUUUAAAUCCUCUGCAAUACCCCAGCUCAGACAUCAGCAAGGCGCCUACACGUCCCUGGCUGAAGGCUGCCUGUCACGCACCUUCCCACACCUCGGCGCGUGUCUGGACUGCGGGUUAAGUACAGAAGAGGAGCUCCGUGAUCCUGUCACCUUCCCGCAGCUGCAGUGGGCUCUCGAACUGAGCAAACCUCAACUCCAAAACCUCCCCUGCUCCUGCUCCUUUGCUCCCACCCAAAGGCCUGUAGAGAAGAAGAAUAAUAACUGAUCUCUGUAUCUCCAUGUGGCUGAGCUAAUUAAGAGAUGCAUUAACCACGGGCCUAACUAGUGAAGCCUCAGAGCAUCUCUUGUGCUGCCGGUACAUCGUAUAAUCUCCUCACAUCCACAGUGGGCCUCAGUCAUUCAUGUUCUGGCAUCUGUGCAGUUUCUUGCUUCACAAAGAGUGUCACCAGGGAAGAAAGUGUUACUCAACACAAGUAAAUGUGACAGCAUCUGAGUCUAUAGUUAAGUCUAAACUACUCUGAAGUGAGAACUGAAGAAGCCUAACCCUGCCAGAUGAGUCACUGGCAGAAUCAGGACAAGAACAAGAAUCCCUCAUUACCAGCUCUGCGAUAUAAACACGUGCCUUCCCUCUCUGUUUCCCCAACCUUUCAUUAACACAGCGGUAGCACUUAGAGAUUUGGUCUAUUUUUCUCAGGAUCAACUUUCACCCAUUUUCGAGUCAGGAAGGAAUUCUUCCUCUCCUCUCCUUGCUCUUCAUUAACUUUCCCUGCUCCUGUAAAGCACCAGCAGCGUAAGGCUCCUCCUGGCUGCCAACUGGCCAGUGUGAACAUGAAGCAGAGAUUGCUGGCACGGGCAGGAUGUUUCAUACUUGCUGGGCUGCCCCUAGCCUCUCACCUGGGUAGGCAUCCCCCUACAGCUCUUCCCGUUGCUUUUCAUUCUUUGUGGGAUGCUGCAGCCCAAUGCGAACUUAUUAAAAUGCUGUGAGUCAGGCCUCCUCGAAAAGUCAUGCAUGACUUAAAAUCACAAGGAUGAUCAAAAACAAUAAAUUGCAUAUUUUCUACUUGCCUUUGGGUUUU